This 427-nucleotide long non-coding RNA is filed under the name Dermacentor andersoni. Its description in RNAcentral is "uncharacterized LOC126529903". Lineage: Eukaryota; Metazoa; Arthropoda; Arachnida; Ixodida; Ixodidae. The record is from RNAcentral.
CCUCCAAUCCAGACAGCCCAGAUGUCCUUGAUGAGGAGCUGCCUGAGCGCACUGCACAUAAUGCUUCAACAUCCUUGACCAGUGCACGUAUCCCGAACAGACAUGACUCACAGGCUACAAUGUGUGACAGCAGCUGUAGGUUGUGUUCCUUAGAAUUCAGCAUCCCUGCAAUGAAUAGCCAGCACACCGAUUUUCUUAUGCAUUCCUAUUUGCAGCUGCCCCAAGUGUUAUCGAUACUAUUGAAUCUUCGCACGGGGAGUGUCACAGUUUGGAGAGGCUAAGAAAAAUGGGCGGUGAAAGUGCCAAUUCUACCGUCGCUCUAUCAAAUGCCAUGACUGACAGUCUACCUGUACGAGCUCCUCCAGAGGCCCAGUACCUUUCUCCGGAUGAUGUAGGUGCUCUACAGGACAGGAUACGGCAAUUAGAA